AGUCAUCCAUCCGCAUUCGCACGUCGCAAGACGCGAGGAAAGUCCGGACACCAUAGGGCAGGAUUCCCGCCGCAAGUCGGGGCACGGGUCAAACCGUGACGGACAGUGCCACAGAAAAUAAACCGCCGUCCCCGCAAGGGAAACGGUAAGGGUGAAAAGGUGAGGUAAGAGCUCACCGCUCCAAGGGCGACCAAGGAGGCAUGGUAAACCCAAUCCGGUGCAAGACAAACAGGGACCGCCCGAGGCCGCCCACCAAGGUUCCGGGUUGUCGCACCGCCGCAAGGCGGGUCCGCAAGGUCAGAGAAAUGAAUGCGCAAGGGCUGGCGAGAGCCACCCGGGACAGAAUCCGGCUUACAGUGGAUGACUCAAA
This 370-nucleotide RNase P RNA is filed under the name Opitutia bacterium AMD-G3. RNAcentral's name for it is "Opitutae bacterium AMD-G3 RNase P RNA component class A". It matches the Rfam family "Bacterial RNase P class A". Rfam says of the family: Ribonuclease P (RNase P) is a ubiquitous endoribonuclease, found in archaea, bacteria and eukarya as well as chloroplasts and mitochondria. Its best characterised activity is the generation of mature 5'-ends of tRNAs by cleaving the 5'-leader elements of precursor-tRNAs. Cellular RNase Ps are ribonucleoproteins. The record is from RNAcentral. RNAcentral also lists the same sequence under 1 other name. Lineage: Bacteria; Pseudomonadati; Verrucomicrobiota; Opitutia.